GCCUCUGUGGCCAAGUGGUAAGGCGUCGGUCUCGUAAACCGAAGAUCCAGGGUUCGACCCCCUGCGGAGGCA
RNAcentral lists this transfer RNA (72 nucleotides) under Aplysia californica (California sea hare). RNAcentral describes it as "tRNA-Thr (CGT) (tRNA-Thr-CGT-2 1 to 3)". It matches the Rfam family "tRNA". Rfam says of the family: Transfer RNA (tRNA) molecules are approximately 80 nucleotides in length. Lineage: Eukaryota; Metazoa; Mollusca; Gastropoda; Aplysiida; Aplysiidae. The record is from RNAcentral.